GAUGAACGCUGGGCGGCGUGCCUAACACGAUGCAAGUCGAACGGACAGUUUUUGGAAAGUUCUUACGGGAACUGGAAUCUAAAUGUUAGUGGCGGACGGGUGAGUAACGCGUGAGCAAUCUGCCUUUCAGAGGGGGAUAACAGCCGGAAACAGAUGCUAAUACCGGAUAACAACACUAGACGCAUGUCUAGAGUUUGAAAGAUGGUUCUGCUAUCACUCUUGGAUGGACCUGCGGUGCAUUAGCUAGUUGGUAAGGUAACGGCUUACCAAGGCAAUGAUGCAUAGCCGAGUUGAGAGACUGAUCGGCCACAUUGGGACUGAGACACGGCCCAA
RNAcentral lists this ribosomal RNA (333 nucleotides) under uncultured bacterium. RNAcentral describes it as "bacterial SSU rRNA". It matches the Rfam family "Bacterial small subunit ribosomal RNA", at positions 28 to 334 of the family's 1533-position model. The record is from RNAcentral.